GACGAACGCUGGCGGCGUGCCUAAUACAUGCAAGUAGAACGCUGAAGGAGGAGCUUGCUUCUCUGGAUGAGUUGCGAACGGGUGAGUAACGCGUAGGUAACCUGCCUGGUAGCGGGGGAUAACUAUUGGAAACGAUAGCUAAUACCGCAUAAUAGUAGAUGUUGCAUGACAUUUGCUUAAAAGGUGCAAUUGCAUCACUGCCAGAUGGACCUGCGUUGUAUUAGCUAGUUGGUGGGGUAACGGCUCACCAAGGCGACGAUACAUAGCCGACCUGAGAGGGUGAUCGGCCACACUGGGACUGAGACACGGCCCAGACUCCUACGGGAGGCAGCAGUAGGGAAUCUUCGGCAAUGGACGGAAGUCUGACCGAGCAACGCCGCGUGAGUGAAGAAGGUUUUCGGAUCGUAAAGCUCUGUUGUAAGAGAAGAACGAGUGUGAGAGUGGAAAGUUCACACUGUGACGGUAUCUUACCAGAAAGGGACGGCUAACUACGUG
This 495-nucleotide ribosomal RNA is filed under the name uncultured bacterium. Its description in RNAcentral is "partial 16S ribosomal RNA". It matches the Rfam family "Bacterial small subunit ribosomal RNA", at positions 28 to 507 of the family's 1533-position model. The record is from RNAcentral.